This 90-nucleotide microRNA precursor is filed under the name Medicago truncatula (barrel medic). RNAcentral's name for it is "MIR2617 microRNA precursor family". It matches the Rfam family "MIR2617 microRNA precursor family". The record is from Rfam by way of RNAcentral. Lineage: Eukaryota; Viridiplantae; Streptophyta; Magnoliopsida; Fabales; Fabaceae.
UUGUAGUGUGACAUGCCCGUUUACUAAUCACUCUGAUGUAUGUUUAUUUAUUAUUUAAUUGAUUUUUGGGUAACAGGGUGUUACAGUGUA